RNAcentral lists this ribosomal RNA (169 nucleotides) under uncultured Pseudomonas sp. RNAcentral's name for it is "partial 16S ribosomal RNA". It matches the Rfam family "Bacterial small subunit ribosomal RNA", at positions 367 to 528 of the family's 1533-position model. Lineage: Bacteria; Pseudomonadati; Pseudomonadota; Gammaproteobacteria; Pseudomonadales; Pseudomonadaceae. The record is from RNAcentral.
GACAAUGGGCGAAAGCCUGAUCCAGCCAUGCCGCGUGUGUGAAGAAGGUCUUCGGAUUGUAAAGCACUUUUAGCUGGGAGGAAAGGCAGUGAGUUAAUACCUUGCUGUUUUGACGUUACCAGCAGAAUAAGCACCGGCUAACUUCGUGCCAGCAGCCGCGGUAAUACAA